GAUGAGCGCUGGCGGCGUGCCUAAUACAUGCAAGUCGAGCGAACAGACGAGGAGCUUGCUCCUCUGACGUUAGCGGCGGACGGGUGAGUAACACGUGGAUAACCUACCUAUAAGACUGGGAUAACUUCGGGAAACCGGAGCUAAUACCGGAUAAUAUAUUGAACCGCAUGGUUCAAUAGUGAAAGACGGUUUUGCUGUCACUUAUAGAUGGAUCCGCGCCGCAUUAGCUAGUUGGUAAGGUAACGGCUUACCAAGGCGACGAUGCGUAGCCGACCUGAGAGGGUGAUCGGCCACACUGGAACUGAGACACGGUCCAGACUCCUACGGGAGGCAGCAGUAGGGAAUCUUCCGCAAUGGGCGAAAGCCUGACGGAGCAACGCCGCGUGAGUGAUGAAGGUCUUCGGAUCGUAAAACUCUGUCAUUAGGGAAGAACAAAUGUGUAAGUAACUAUGCACGUCUUGACGGUACCUAAUCAGAAAGCCACGGCUAACUACGUG
This 497-nucleotide ribosomal RNA is filed under the name uncultured bacterium. RNAcentral's name for it is "partial 16S ribosomal RNA". It matches the Rfam family "Bacterial small subunit ribosomal RNA", at positions 28 to 507 of the family's 1533-position model. The record is from RNAcentral.